CCCUUUGGAAAGGAAUAGCCUCGGGAAACUGGGAGUAAUGCCUUAUAAGAUACGUUUGUCGCAUGGCAUUUGUAUUAAACGCUCCGGCGCCAUAGGAUGGACCCGCGUCCCAUUAGCUAGUUGGUGAGAUAACAGCUCACCAAGGCCACGAUGGGUAACCGGUCUGAGAGGGCGAACGGUCACACUGGAACUGAGACACGGUCCAGACUCCUACGGGAGGCAGCAGUGGGGAAUAUUGCGCAAUGGGGGCAACCCUGACGCAGCAAUACCGCGUGAGUGAAGAAGGUUUUCGGAUCGUAAAGCUCUGUUAUUGGGGAAGAAAAAAAGACGGUACCCAAGAAGAAAGUUCCGGCUAACUACGUGCCAGCAGCCGCGGUAAUACGUAGGGAACAAGCGUUGUCCGGAUUUACUGGGCGUAAAGGGCACGCAGGCGGUUUUUUAAGUCAGAUGUGAAAGGCCACAGCUCAACUGUGGACAUGCAUUUGAAACUGAAAGACUUGAGUAUUGGAGAGGCAAGUGGAAUUCCUAGUGUAGCGGUGAAAUGCGUAGAUAUUAGGAGGAACACCGGUGGCGAAGGCGGC
Molecule: ribosomal RNA, 581 nt
Filed under: uncultured bacterium
Lineage: Bacteria
Description: bacterial SSU rRNA
Rfam family: Bacterial small subunit ribosomal RNA
Source: RNAcentral